Molecule: long non-coding RNA, 1050 nt
Filed under: Astyanax mexicanus (Mexican tetra)
Lineage: Eukaryota; Metazoa; Chordata; Actinopteri; Characiformes; Acestrorhamphidae
Description: lncRNA (ENSAMXG00005014742.1)
Source: RNAcentral
GGACAAUAUAUUAUUGUGGUCUAAAACCAGGUGUUUCAGUUUCAUUGUCCAACCCCUGUAGAUAGAUGCAGUUGAUUGGAUAACAUAUGAUGUAAUUGUUUGUCAUUACGGAAUUGCGCUAUGGAAUUAAAUAAAAUAGCGAAACAACAGCCAUAACCAUGAAGUGAAUCUUCUUCUGCUGUUUGGUUCUCUCUCUUCUAGGGUGCCCUGUUUUUGGGUGAGGCAGAUCGUCCCUCUCUCUAGAUACUUAGGCAUGAUGGAAUCAUUCUCCUGCUUCCAGUUACUCUUACAGAAAGACCCAGAGGCAGCACACCGACUGUCUCAGGACAUGACUCAGAGACUCCUGUCUGCAAUGAAAGUGACAUCCACAGAAACAGAGGUCACCAUGGGGGUUUGCUACUUUUAUUUUCAGGCCUGCAAGCCCUCUGCUGAGUGAUUUUCAGAUUACAGGAUGCUCUUGUGUUUGGUGUCGGGUCAGUGUCAAAAAUUGCGAGCAGAGAAACCUUCCUCACACAAGGAAAUAAUCACCGUUUAUUUCGUAAGAAAUUAUAUUAUGUGCAUGCAAAACCAUUCAUGCAAGAGCAAAGAGAAUAUGUCGUGCAGUCAGUACUCGGUCACAGUUUUGACAGUAUGAGAAGAACCUACAUAUGAUUGGUUAAUGCUGUUUUCUGGAUCUCACUUGUAAUUGGCUGUCUGUCAGUACUUGUGUUAAAGGCUCUUUCUGUAUUUAAAAAAAAAACCUUUGACAAACUCCUGUCAACAUCUGAAAUGCACUAUUACUAGAAUAUCUGCCUGUACACACCCAAUUCUACCUUAGUAAAUGUUCUAAUCAGUAUUAAUCUGCUACUCUUAGUUACACUGGUUGCAAAAGUAUUCAUACCUCUUUCACAUUUUGUCAACAUUUAAGCUUACAACCACAAGCGUAAAUGUAUUUUAUUAUUAAUAAGUGAUAGAUCAUCAUAAAGUAGCACAUAAUUGUAAAGCGGAAUACAAGUGAUAAAUGGUUUUCAAAACUUUAAUCAAAUAAAAAUCUGAAAUGAAUGAUGUGCA